This 1929-nucleotide unclassified non-coding RNA is filed under the name Hevea brasiliensis (rubber tree). The record is from RNAcentral. Lineage: Eukaryota; Viridiplantae; Streptophyta; Magnoliopsida; Malpighiales; Euphorbiaceae.
GAAUACACCAUAUCCCUAACAAUACCACCCCCUGAAAUUUGGCCUUGUCCUCAAGGCUGUAGUGCAAAUACAAGAGAGAUAAUGCUAGUAGUAGUUUGUGUAGCAACUCCAUUGGUUCACGCAAGACUGAAAAUAUUUGCAGACCACUUUGGGUAUGAUUGCAAUGGAAUUCAUCCCAUUCCCUGUAUGGCACAAAACAGACCCUUAACAACCCAUCUUCUGGAAUUGCUGCUGUUAAAUUUUUCUUAGGUUCUUCCAUCGAACUAGGUUCACAGUUGAGCAUCCAUAUCAUCUCAUCCUCUAUCCAAGCAAGUAUGUGGAUAUAAUAAACAGAGAUAAUAGAAAUUUGUUGUAUGCAAAUUUUCAUAAUUGCAUCCCCCUUCAAAGUUGGAAGAAAAAUUGCGACAAUGAAAUCCCAGAUUGUCCACACAUAAUGCCAGCAACAUCGUACAAGGAAUUUGGCACCGAAGCAGAUUGAGUUGUGAAGGAGUUCAAAUAGUGAAAAGGGGACAGAGGCAAGGGUAAUAAGAGAGCUCAGAUAAAAGACAUAAGUGCACAAAUCAGACUCAAGACCCAUGGAGAAUGGAACUGCGAAGGGAAUUUCCCACAAUCCAAACCGCAAAUCACAGAAAAUUACCUUAAUAUACCUACGUCCGAUAAUAGAAGGGCUACUAAAUUGCAGAAAUAUCCAUGGUUCAUAUGUGGAUGUCAAAGUUAAAGAAGCCUGACCUUCUCGGUUCCCGAGAUAUCUGCUCGCCAUUCUAAUUUGUGGAAACAGAGACAACACUGCUUCCUGAAUUGAUGGCAACAAAUUCCUUAGUUCGGUCACGUUGCAAGGCAGGAUAUCUAGAUUCAGUAAUCUGCCUUGCUACUGAUUGUAAACGCAGAGUAGGUUGGACUGGGUCUGGUGGGUGGGAUGGAGGCCUUUUAAAAUAUUGAAGGCUGGUGUGUAGUGGGUCAGCUAGAGGUCUUUGUCCAUCAAAAACAACUAGGCCUCUCUUAGAGAUCCCAGAGCUCGGCCCAAGCCCUACCUCAACUCUUUCCAUCGUCUUCUCCAGCCACUUCCCAAACAGAGAAGCACAUAAAGCUCUUGCCCUCUCCUCGUGCAAACAAUCUCUGUCCUUCCCACUGGUUAAAUUUCUUGUGCCAUUUUUCUUCCUUGCGUCCUUUUGCGAUCUUGGUGUCGAGUGCUGUAGACAUGGUGCAGCAGAAAACUCCAGUUCCUGUGUUGCUUUGGCGAUGGAACCUUCGACCAACUCCGUUUUUGAGUGCAUCUGAUUAACAUCCACAAGAUAUUCCCAGGGAGUGCCAUUUGUAGCUUCAACAAAUUGUCGGAGGAAUUCUGGUUUGAGUGUUCCCAUGAGAGAUGAGGGAAUUGAUGCUGAAGCCCAUGAAACCAGUCAAGGGCAGUUCCCUCCAUGCCAACUAGAAUCUUAUAGAUUUUCAUAUCAUCAUUAGUGCCACGAAUUUCAAAAUAUUUCUUUGCAUUCGCUAGCCAACCCAGAGGGUCAAAACCGACAAAAGAGGGAAAUUCCAAUUUCCUAAUAUAGCAACCAACCUCACUGGCGGCAAGUUGAAGACUUUGAUUAGCCAAACCCUUUGUAACGAGGUUUCAUCCAAGGGAAAAUGCAGUAAUGAUGUUGCCUACAUCGAUCAUUGCAUUGCCGGAAAUGAUGGUGGUUAAGAGAUUUUCUAUUGCAGAGAGCUUUGAGUAAAUUUGGGUAUUGUCCAUGCAGAGUUUAGUGAACCCUUCAUCUAACAAGGUAAGAUUCCUCUCCACCGAUUCUAUGUAAUUCUCCAUUGUGAUCUGAUGGGUUCGAGAUGGCAGGUCGGACCAAUUGAUGGAGUAAGGAAUCACAAAACAGAAAUUUAACUAAUGAAAACCGAACAAGAAAUGGUAGCAGGAUGAAGAAGAGACUUCUAUUCAAA